UACGAAGGGGGCUAGCGUUGCUCGGAAUUACUGGGCGUAAAGCGCACGUAGGCGGAUUGUUAAGUCGGGGGUGAAAUCCUGGAGCUCAACUCCAGAACUGCCUUCGAUACUGGCGAUCUCGAGUUCGGGAGAGGUGAGUGGAACUGCGAGUGUAGAGGUGAAAUUCGUAGAUAUUCGCAAGAACACCAGUGGCGAAGGCGGCUCACUGGCCCGAUACUGACACUGAGAGACGAAAGCUAGGGGAGCGAAUGGGAUUAG
RNAcentral lists this ribosomal RNA (258 nucleotides) under uncultured bacterium. Its description in RNAcentral is "partial 16S ribosomal RNA". It matches the Rfam family "Bacterial small subunit ribosomal RNA", at positions 524 to 781 of the family's 1533-position model. The record is from RNAcentral.